AAUUUUUGGUUAAAUUCGGUCAAAUCGGAAUCGUAAAAUAUGCACUUUUUCUCGUCAUUUCUCCGUUGACUCAAUGUUAAAUUACCGAUACCCAUGUCUCCGUUUACAACAAAUAAAGAAAUUUUGUAAAUAAAACACAAACUUUGCAAAUCGAUUAAGUAUAUUCAAACAUAUAGCUGGCGAAAAAUACUACUUAAAACAGUUUAAUUUCAGGGCAAAUUCGGUCAAACAUCGAUUUAAAAAAGGGAAUUUUCCGAGAUUUUUCAAAAUGGCGGCUGAUGUAUCAUAUGGAAAUGUUGCAUCAAAUCAAUGAUUUCUAUAGUAAGACUUUCCUAGAUUAUAUUUAAUAUUCUAUAAAUAAUCUCUGAUGUUUCUGUUAUUUUCCUUUAGUGAUAUUUCGAUAUCAUUGAUUUCAAAAUUUCUUAAUAAAAAAAAAUAUUUUAAGU
This 446-nucleotide long non-coding RNA is filed under the name Mytilus galloprovincialis (Mediterranean mussel). The record is from RNAcentral. Lineage: Eukaryota; Metazoa; Mollusca; Bivalvia; Mytilida; Mytilidae.